RNAcentral lists this ribosomal RNA (253 nucleotides) under uncultured bacterium. RNAcentral describes it as "partial 16S ribosomal RNA". It matches the Rfam family "Bacterial small subunit ribosomal RNA", at positions 524 to 776 of the family's 1533-position model. The record is from RNAcentral.
UACGAAGGGGGCUAGCGUUGUUCGGAUUCAUUGGGCGUAAAGGGUGCGUAGGUGGUAAGGUAAGUUGGAUGUGAAAUCUCGGGGCUCAACCCCGAAACUGCAUUCAAUACUGCCUUGCUGGAGUACUGGAGAGGAGAUUGGAAUUUACGGUGUAGCGGUGAAAUGCGUAGAUAUCGUAAGGAAGACCAGUGGCGAAGGCGGGUCUCUGGACAGUUCCUGACGCUGAGGCACGAAGGUCAGGGGAGCAAACGGG